UGGUACUACAAUGAACUUGCUUCAAUUAUCAUCACAACUUCAACGUGUGGAGGAUCAAAGGCAAUCCAUCCAUUUGAAGGAGCAAAAUGAUGUUUUCGGUUGUCGUGGCAUCACUUGAGCAUUCCAAGACAAGGUACAAGGAAAUCCUUGAAACCUUCAUUUGCUUGAUGGGGAAAAACUCUGGCUUUUGUCUUGCCCAUUUUGGAAUCUCUGACGAAUGGGCCUGCAAAAACCUCAAGGAAGACAGGAUGUGGUAGGCCACCAAGUGUUUUGGAGCUUUUACCUACUAGGGAAUUGGCCAAGCAGGUGUUUCCUGAUUUUGAAGUUUAUGGUGGAGGAGUGGGCUUAACAUCAUGUUGUUUGUAUGGUGGAGCUCACUAUCAUGCUCAGGAAAGCCAAUUGAGGAGACGGGUUGAUAUAGUGAUUGGAACACCUGGCCGUGUGAAAGAUCACAUUGAGAGGGAAAAUAUUGACUUGAGCUCUUUAACCUUCCGUGUCCUUGAUGAGGCGGAUGAAAUGCUAAGGAUGGAUUUUGUUGAAGAUGUGGAGCUAAUUCUUGGCGUGUGUGUACUAAUUUUUUUUCACUAUGGAGUCGGUGGAAAUAUGCUUUACUCAUCUAUUGCAAUUACAAUUAUUGUUAGUGAUGUUAUAUUUUGAAAUUUGACAAUAGAUCUUUCAGUUUCAGCAUCAUGCAGCUGCUUAGAACUUUUU
Eucalyptus grandis is the source of this 711-nucleotide long non-coding RNA. RefSeq lists it as uncharacterized. Lineage: Eukaryota; Viridiplantae; Streptophyta; Magnoliopsida; Myrtales; Myrtaceae. The transcript is spliced from 4 exons. The record is from RefSeq and is a predicted model, not a curated record.